CACAGGUUCCUGCUGGUUCACAUGUGGCUUAAAUCUUCAGUUUGUUUUAGAUCUUAGUUUUGUUAAUAUUUGUUGAUUUGUUGGUGCAUUCUGAUGAAAUUAAUGCGUAUCUCCCCUAAUAAAAUUCUGUCAUUAUAUUUUCUAAAAUUUGAAAAUAAACAGAAAAAAAGCCCUUCUUUGGUAACAUUUUUGUGUAUUUUGAGAUUAUUUAUCAGAUUUCCUCUCUUGUUCUGCAGG
Molecule: unclassified non-coding RNA, 237 nt
Filed under: Hevea brasiliensis (rubber tree)
Lineage: Eukaryota; Viridiplantae; Streptophyta; Magnoliopsida; Malpighiales; Euphorbiaceae
Source: RNAcentral